GCAUUGGAGGAAGAGGAGCAUUUGUGGCUGUGGUGCUCAGCCUGGCACACACAAUCACCUGGGGUGCUUUCCCAGCUGCUGAUGCUGAUCCAACCACCAAAGACUCUGACUUGGUUAGCCUGAGUCUGCUUGGGGACAUGGCCCCAGCAGGCAUCAAGAUUUUAAGAUUCCAGGUGAUUCUAACAUGCGGCACAGGGCAAGACCCAUGAAUUAAAGGGACGAGGCUAGUUUCUCCUCUUUUACCGAAGAGGUCUGCGACGGUACUAUGCUUCUGCCUCUUUAAUAGAUGAGGGUGAAAGGCAGCUGAUUUCAUUGGGUCGUUAGAGAACUCAGAACAAGCCCUGAUCUUAUCAGUAAUGUAUUUCCCCGGCCCUACCUCUGGGAAUCUUCUAAGCUUGGGCGGGCUGCCUAAGUGGUGGGGUUUCAGCAAGCUCAGGGCCACUUCCCAAGUGUCUCCCCUCACUAACUGGUAAUGGCGCUUGCAGUGCCGACCACAGAGACUCAAUUUGGGAAUUUACGUGUACUUUAAUUAGGUUAAUGAAUAUUGUUGCUUGCAAUACAUAACACAUUAGCUGAGGGACCCAUCAGCCAGAAUUCAUCAAUCUGAUUAUCCAUGUAUCUGUCAGCGUAAGUGAGAUUAUGCUGCACCAACAGAUGCUCCCCAAACUCCAGGGGCUUAAAAAACAACAGACUUUUUUCUCCCUGGGCUGCAUGUCCAUUCCAGGCCAGCUGGGGCUUCUGCUCCACAGAGCUCACUGCAGAACUGAGGCUGACAUCACUGUCACCACUUGGAGCGUUGGUGUUUGCCUCGGCAGAGGAGGAGGAGGACGAGGCUUCCACCAGAAGGGUGAUUUUGGCUUAUGCUUCGUGGGCCAAAGCGAGUCACAUGGCCACCUCUGACUUCAAGGGAGCUACGAGUUGCAACCCUACCCUGUGCCAAGGCUAACUGCGGAAUGUUUUAUCCCAAAUUGCGUUUCCGGCCCAAGUCACUCCUCAGCCUAUGUUUCUGAGUUUAUCCCUUGAUUUUAGAAAUGAAAUGGCCCUACAAAGAGAAAAAUCUCCAUAAAGAAAUGUACCAGUCAAGAUCAAAUAUGACUUUAAAGGCUAGUAUCAUCUCAUGGGUGACAUGGGAAACCUGGCAAAAAGCCAAAUUACAAAGAAAAGUAUCUCAUUUGCCUAUUCAUUUGGCACAUUUUCUAGCAUGAAAAGAUCUGGAAAAAGGAGGGAGAAAAAGUAGUUCAUCCUAAAAUCAGAAGAAAACCAACAAAGCCUACAUGUGGCAGCCUCAGAGGAAGUUUUCAUCCACACCCUGGCAUUUCAUCACAGCCUGCUCAGCUCCGAUGAACAGCCAAACCAUGGUUCUUUGAGCAGCACAGUCCGUUCUCAAAGUUCAAGGAUUUUUCAAAAGGUCAGAGUUGUGGACACAUUGCUCAAACCAAACAGGGGGACGUAGAAAUGAGAGGCACAGUGGAUGGACUCACUGGGGCUGUGUACUGCAUGUGCUGGGAGUCAUCUCAGCAGGAUUUGUAAGCAAGUCCUAACUACACCAUUAGGGAGAGAAUAAAAGAAGCUGCUUAAACAUAAGACCUGGUGUGUCACUUCCCUCCCCACCCCAGUUAGCCAGAGCCUGGGAUUCUUAGUCAGAAGGCCAUGGCAAUGUCACUGAAGUCAGGCACCAAAACACUCCAACCGUCCAACCCAAACCUUGGAAUUCCCCAGGAAUAGGCCCUUAAAGUGAUGUCAAGUCUUGUGGGAUUCACCAUUUCCAGUCCUACAAGAACACCUCCUCUUUAACAAAAUCCUAGCUGCCAAGGAACGCAUCACACUGGAGCCAAGGAAGUCACUUGGUUGAUGCUUUAAAACUGAAGCCUGUCCAGAGCAGACAGACCUUCCCCCAAAAGGAGUGAAUUCUGUUGCAUCCCUGGAAACAAAACGAAGGGGAGCUGUAUCCAGAAUAGAGGCUGAGCAGGACCAGCUGAGCUGGGGCUGCCUCGGGAGGAGGAGUCCGAGGUCAUGGAGGACGGUGGUGGAAGAGAAGCACCCUUUUGUCUUCUGCUCAGCUGAAGUUUCCCUUAGUUGGACAGCCAGCCAUUCCAGCCUUUGACAUUUCUUGGGGCAAAGACAGGGCUUUGCCAAAGCAAAUGACCAAAUAAAUUGUAAGGAGAAGAUGGGAGAGAGGGAGCAAGAGGUGAAUCUACAGCCUUAAAAAAGGCUUGACAACGCAUCAUCAACCAAUGGACAAUCUGAAGUGGAAAUUAAGAAAAUAAUUCCAUUGACAAUAGCAUCAACAAGAGUAAAAUAGGUGCCGGUUGUGGAAGGAACAUGAGUGAUUUUUAGAGCAGUCAAGCUCUUCUGCAUGACACCAUAAUGGCAGUUACCUAUCGUUAUACAUUGGUCUGAAGUCACAGAAUGUAUGAUACCAAGAGUGAAACCUAAUGUAAACUGUGGAAUUUGGGUGAUUAUGGUGUUUCAGCGUAGGGUCAAUAAUUGUAACAAAUGUACCACUGUGCUGGGGGAUGUUGACAAGGGGAGGCCUUACAUGAGUGAGGGCAGGAAGCAUAAGGGAAAUUCCUGUACUUUCCAUUCAGUUUUACUGAGAAUCUAAAACUGCUCUAAAAAAUCGACACAACAUUGUAAAUCAACAAUAAAUUUAAAAAACAAAAAAUAAGGUUUUUAAAAAUAAAAAUAAAAAAUAAAACUCUCUGAAAAUAAAG
Sus scrofa (pig) is the source of this 2714-nucleotide long non-coding RNA. RefSeq lists it as uncharacterized. The record is from RefSeq and is a predicted model, not a curated record. Lineage: Eukaryota; Metazoa; Chordata; Mammalia; Artiodactyla; Suidae.